This 229-nucleotide ribosomal RNA is filed under the name Staphylococcus aureus. Its description in RNAcentral is "partial 16S ribosomal RNA". It matches the Rfam family "Bacterial small subunit ribosomal RNA", at positions 1313 to 1533 of the family's 1533-position model. The record is from RNAcentral. Lineage: Bacteria; Bacillati; Bacillota; Bacilli; Caryophanales; Staphylococcaceae.
CGCCUACAUGAAGUCGGAAUCGCUAGUAAUCGCGGAUCAGCACGCCGCGGUGAAUACGUUCCCGGGCCUUGUACACACCGCCCGUCACACCACGAGAGUUUGUAACACCCGAAGUCGGUGAGGUAACCUUUUAGGAGCCAGCCGCCUAAGGUGGGAUAGAUGAUUGGGGUGAAGUCGUAACAAGGUAGCCGUAUCGGAAGGUGCGGCUGGAUCACCUCCUUUCUAAGGA